Molecule: ribosomal RNA, 468 nt
Filed under: uncultured bacterium
Lineage: Bacteria
Description: partial 16S ribosomal RNA
Rfam family: Bacterial small subunit ribosomal RNA
Source: RNAcentral
GAUGAACGCUGGCGGCGUGCCUAACACAUGCAAGUCGAACGGAAAGGCCCAAGCUUGCUUGGGUACUCGAGUGGCGAACGGGUGAGUAACACGUGGGUGAUCUGCCCUGCACUUCGGGAUAAGCCUGGGAAACUGGGUCUAAUACCGGAUAGGACGAUGGUUUGGAUGCCAUUGUGGAAAGUUUUUUCGGUGUGGGAUGAGCUCGCGGCCUAUCAGCUUGUUGGUGGGGUAAUGGCCUACCAAGGCGUCGACGGGUAGCCGGCCUGAGAGGGUGUACGGCCACAUUGGGACUGAGAUACGGCCCAGACUCCUACGGGAGGCAGCAGUGGGGAAUAUUGCACAAUGGGCGCAAGCCUGAUGCAGCGACGCCGCGUGGGGGAUGACGGCCUUCGGGUUGUAAACUCCUUUCGCUAGGGACGAAGCGUUUUUGUGACGGUACCUGGAGAAGAAGCACCGGCUAACUACGUG